AAGGACGUGCUAAUCUGCGAUAAGCGUCGGUAAGGUGAUAUGAACCGUUAUAACCGGCGAUUUCCGAAUGGGGAAACCCAGUGUGAUUCGUCACACUAUCAUUAACUGAAUCCAUAGGUUAAUGAGGCGAACCGGGGGAACUGAAACAUCUAAGUACCCCGAGGAAAAGAAAUCAACCGAGAUUCCCCCAGUAGCGGCGAGCGAACGGGGAGCAGCCCAGAGCCUGAAUCAGUGUGUGUGUUAGUGGAAGCGUCUGGAAAGGCGCGCGAUACAGGGUGACAGCCCCGUACACAAAAAUGCACAUACUGUGAGCUCGAUGAGUAGGGCGGGACACGUGGUAUCCUGUCUGAAUAUGGGGGGACCAUCCUCCAAGGCUAAAUACUCCUGACUGACCGAUAGUGAACCAGUACCGUGAGGGAAAGGCGAAAAGAACCCCGGCGAGGGGAGUGAAAAAGAACCUGAAACCGUGUACGUACAAGCAGUGGGAGCACGCUUAGGCGUGUGACUGCGUACCUUUUGUAUAAUGGGUCAGCGACUUAUAUUCUGUAGCAAGGUUAACCGAAUAGGGGAGCCGAAGGGAAACCGAGUCUUAACUGGGCGUUAAGUUGCAGGGUAUAGACCCGAAACCCGGUGAUCUAGCCAUGGGCAGGUUGAAGGUUGGGUAACACUAACUGGAGGACCGAACCGACUAAUGUUGAAAAAUUAGCGGAUGACUUGUGGCUGGGGGUGAAAGGCCAAUCAAACCGGGAGAUAGCUGGUUCUCCCCGAAAGCUAUUUAGGUAGCGCCUCGUGAAUUCAUCUCCGGGGGUAGAGCACUGUUUCGGCAAGGGGGUCAUCCCGACUUACCAACCCGAUGCAAACUGCGAAUACCGGAGAAUGUUAUCACGGGAGACACACGGCGGGUGCUAACGUCCGUCGUGAAGAGGGAAACAACCCAGACCGCCAGCUAAGGUCCCAAAGUCAUGGUUAAGUGGGAAACGAUGUGGGAAGGCCCAGACAGCCAGGAUGUUGGCUUAGAAGCAGCCAUCAUUUAAAGAAAGCGUAAUAGCUCACUGGUCGAGUCGGCCUGCGCGGAAGAUGUAACGGGGCUAAACCAUGCACCGAAGCUGCGGCAGCGACGCUUAUGCGUUGUUGGGUAGGGGAGCGUUCUGUAAGCCUGUGAAGGUGUGCUGUGAGGCAUGCUGGAGGUAUCAGAAGUGCGAAUGCUGACAUAAGUAACGAUAAAGCGGGUGAAAAGCCCGCUCGCCGGAAGACCAAGGGUUCCUGUCCAACGUUAAUCGGGGCAGGGUGAGUCGACCCCUAAGGCGAGGCCGAAAGGCGUAGUCGAUGGGAAACAGGUUAAUAUUCCUGUACUUGGUGUUACUGCGAAGGGGGGACGGAGAAGGCUAUGUUGGCCGGGCGACGGUUGUCCCGGUUUAAGCGUGUAGGCUGGUUUUCCAGGCAAAUCCGGAAAAUCAAGGCUGAGGCGUGAUGACGAGGCACUACGGUGCUGAAGCAACAAAUGCCCUGCUUCCAGGAAAAGCCUCUAAGCAUCAGGUAACAUCAAAUCGUACCCCAAACCGACACAGGUGGUCAGGUAGAGAAUACCAAGGCGCUUGAGAGAACUCGGGUGAAGGAACUAGGCAAAAUGGUGCCGUAACUUCGGGAGAAGGCACGCUGAUAUGUAGGUGAAGUCCCUCGCGGAUGGAGCUGAAAUCAGUCGAAGAUACCAGCUGGCUGCAACUGUUUAUUAAAAACACAGCACUGUGCAAACACGAAAGUGGACGUAUACGGUGUGACGCCUGCCCGGUGCCGGAAGGUUAAUUGAUGGGGUCAGCGCAAGCGAAGCUCUUGAUCGAAGCCCCGGUAAACGGCGGCCGUAACUAUAACGGUCCUAAGGUAGCGAAAUUCCUUGUCGGGUAAGUUCCGACCUGCACGAAUGGCGUAAUGAUGGCCAGGCUGUCUCCACCCGAGACUCAGUGAAAUUGAACUCGCUGUGAAGAUGCAGUGUACCCGCGGCAAGACGGAAAGACCCCGUGAACCUUUACUAUAGCUUGACACUGAACAUUGAGCCUUGAUGUGUAGGAUAGGUGGGAGGCUUAGAAGUGUGGACGCCAGUCUGCAUGGAGCCGACCUUGAAAUACCACCCUUUAAUGUUUGAUGUUCUAACGUUGACCCGUAAUCCGGGUUGCGGACAGUGUCUGGUGGGUAGUUUGACUGGGGCGGUCUCCUCCUAAAGAGUAACGGAGGAGCACGAAGGUUGGCUAAUCCUGGUCGGACAUCAGGAGGUUAGUGCAAUGGCAUAAGCCAGCUUGACUGCGAGCGUGACGGCGCGAGCAGGUGCGAAAGCAGGUCAUAGUGAUCCGGUGGUUCUGAAUGGAAGGGCCAUCGCUCAACGGAUAAAAGGUACUCCGGGGAUAACAGGCUGAUACCGCCCAAGAGUUCAUAUCGACGGCGGUGUUUGGCACCUCGAUGUCGGCUCAUCACAUCCUGGGGCUGAAGUAGGUCCCAAGGGUAUGGCUGUUCGCCAUUUAAAGUGGUACGCGAGCUGGGUUUAGAACGUCGUGAGACAGUUCGGUCCCUAUCUGCCGUGGGCGCUGGAGAACUGAGGGGGGCUGCUCCUAGUACGAGAGGACCGGAGUGGACGCAUCACUGGUGUUCGGGUUGUCAUGCCAAUGGCACUGCCCGGUAGCUAAAUGCGGAAGAGAUAAGUGCUGAAAGCAUCUAAGCACGAAACUUGCC
Molecule: ribosomal RNA, 2721 nt
Filed under: Escherichia coli
Lineage: Bacteria; Pseudomonadati; Pseudomonadota; Gammaproteobacteria; Enterobacterales; Enterobacteriaceae
Description: partial 23S ribosomal RNA
Rfam family: Bacterial large subunit ribosomal RNA
Source: RNAcentral